UCGAAUGCACCGGUCUUGAAAACCGGCAUGGGUUUGUAGCCCAUCUAGGGUUCAAAUCCCUAUCUCUCCG
Molecule: transfer RNA, 70 nt
Organism: Shewanella sp. P1-14-1
Lineage: Bacteria; Pseudomonadati; Pseudomonadota; Gammaproteobacteria; Alteromonadales; Shewanellaceae
Rfam family: tRNA
About the family: Transfer RNA (tRNA) molecules are approximately 80 nucleotides in length. Their secondary structure includes four short double-helical elements and three loops (D, anti-codon, and T loops).
Source: Rfam